UCAGAUUGAACGCUGGCGGCAUGCUUUACACAUGCAAGUCGAACGGCAGCGCGGGCUUCGGCCUGGCGGCGAGUGGCGAACGGGUGAGUAAUAUAUCGGAACGUACCCAAGAGUGGGGGAUAACGUAGCGAAAGUUACGCUAAUACCGCAUACGAUCUAAGGAUGAAAGCAGGGGANCGCAAGGCCUUGUGCUCCUGGAGCGGCCGAUAUCUGAUUAGCUAGUUGGUGAGGUAAAGGCUCACCAAGGCAACGAUCAGUAGCUGGUCUGAGAGGACGACCAGCCACACUGGAANUGAGACACGGUCCAGACUCCUACGGGAGGCAGCAGUGGGGAAUUUUGGACAAUGGGGGCAACCCUGAUCCAGCAAUGCCGCGUGAGUGAAGAAGGCCUUCGGGUUGUAAAGCUCUUUUGUCAGGGAAGAAAAGGUCGUGGCUAAUAUCCACGGCUGCUGA
RNAcentral lists this ribosomal RNA (453 nucleotides) under soil bacterium 6V-14. Its description in RNAcentral is "bacterial SSU rRNA". It matches the Rfam family "Bacterial small subunit ribosomal RNA", at positions 24 to 482 of the family's 1533-position model. The record is from RNAcentral.